This is a long non-coding RNA of Syngnathus acus (greater pipefish), 1920 nucleotides long. RefSeq lists it as uncharacterized. The record is from RefSeq and is a predicted model, not a curated record. NCBI's taxonomy places the organism in Eukaryota, Metazoa, Chordata, Actinopteri, Syngnathiformes, Syngnathidae. The transcript has 8 exons.
CACGAAUGUAGUGCCAGUAGUUCACCCUUUGCCACGAAUGUAGUGCAUGAAUGAAAGAGCAACAAUGAACGAAAUGAUUCAUCAAGAUUUCCUCAUGACUUUCAUCUUGUCUAUUGAAGUCGUAGAAUUCCAAAUCGGAGAUGGAUGACAAAAGCUUACUCUGCUGGGUGGAAUCCCGACUCAAAUGUUGGCACGCCUGUAACGUUAAUGACCUGCAGCUGAGUACUGUGUGAUCCAAAGUCAGCAUUAUGGAUACACCGGGUGACAGCAGGGCAACGACCUUGACACACUCCUCUGUGUCGAUUGCAGAGAUUGGCAACGUCCGUCCGUCCGUCCACAUUGAAUGCACUGUAUGACGCGUUUAUGCCUUCCAAAUGGCAGGUUCCUCUCCAAGGUACGUCGAAACCAAAUCAUGUUCCUACUCUAAAUGUGGACUUCAUAAAGCUAGUUUCUGAUCAUCCUGAUGGACAGGGAUCAAUCACUUCAUGCAUGGGCUAUUCAUUUCCAAAAUGGUGUCUUGACAUUUGCUAUGGAAUUUUGUCACAUGGUUGUGCCGGUGCCAUUUUGUCUUGUAGCUCCCGACACAUAUCGGAAGGAUACCGCAUCUUUGACUUCUGAUUGUGAGGCACUCGACACGAUUGCUUUGGACUACAGUUGAUUUGGAAAGGUGCUGAAGCGGAGGUGUUGAAGUGGCCAUUUUGUCUACUGUUGAAUGCAUUUUGUAAUCAAUAAAAAUGAAUAAAUCUGACGUGUGCUGAUUUAAACUUGUAAUGAAAUAUAGUUGAAUAUUUUUCAUAUCACAAACACAGAAUUGCUCGAAAUCCAGAGGAGGAAAGUAGUGAUUUAUAAUCGAUGAAUCAUUAGGGCUCUCCAUGCUCACAAAAUUGGCACAAAUGUCAAAUCGACUAGUUUUGAGGCUUAUAAAUGCCAGAACGGUUCUUUGGCAAUUGAGAAGUGAUAGCAAGUAAACCAAUGCACUUUUUUGUUCCACUUAAAGUACUCUAGAAUGAAACGUGUACCUAUUUCAAGUAUGCAGUCGGAUGGGUUGACUAGUUUAUUUUGAAGGAGAACCGGAACUCCGCCCGCCGGCCCCGCCCGCCCUCUUUUGUUCUCGUUUAUGAUUAACGUUCUCUUGACUGGAAAUCAUGGUCCACCUGCAAUAGGCCGUAUCCAAACCAAAUGAGAUUUGAUUCCAAAUGAUAGUUUUGCAAGCAAAUUGGUGACUUGCCUGGCUCAAGAUUUGGGCAAUUCAAGCGAAGUGCCACUGUACGAGCAUAGCAGGAACGUGGAUGAAGAUACACGGAGUGAAGCAAGGCUCGAAACUCUGGACAAGUUGGACAAGCUUGCCGCCGCCGCCGUCACCGUCCAAAAACGUUGGCUGCAUGACGCCAAAUGAGCGCAUCUUCUAUUUACUUCCGCAUUUGACCAACCUGCACAGCAAUUGGGCUUCCAACAUAUGAACACGAUCGAUCGUGAGCAGUCCUACAUGGUUUUGGAGCCACUUAAGGGUGUACAUCAUCUGCACUGUUUUGUCCAACUUGUCCGUUUGAGCAAGUGGACAAACCAUUUGAGUCAAAAGGAGCUGAGAAGUUUGUCCGUUUGCUGCAAAAAGUUCCUCGAUCAACCAUGACAGCUGUGGUCGGAAGAGCAUGGGGAUGGCUGCGUUCCUGGAGUAGGAGUGCAGCGUCAGACAAAACUGGGUCGGAUCAAGAUGAGCUCAACAAGCGCUCCGGCUCGAAAGAGCACAAUUGUCCAGGGGACGAUGAGUACUGGGAAGCUCAGGAGAAACCUAUGGAACUUGAAGAUGUGCGUGCAGGAAAACAAGAGAUGGAGCCAACAGUUGAACUUGUUCCAAGAUGGUGGAAUACAUUUCUUCCAAAGUCUUUUCUUCCGUGGGGAAGGAAAACACCGCCGAGCGGA